UGCAACUCGACUACAUGAAGCUGGAAUCGCUAGUAAUCGCGGAUCAGAAUGUCGCGGUGAAUACGUUCCCGGGUCUUGUACACACCGCCCGUCACACCAUGGGAGUCAGUAACGCCCGAAGCCGGUGACCCAACCAGUUCAGGAGGGAGCCGUCGAAGGUGGGACCGAUAACUGGGGUGAAGUCGUAACAAGGUAAC
Molecule: ribosomal RNA, 197 nt
Filed under: uncultured bacterium
Lineage: Bacteria
Description: partial 16S ribosomal RNA
Rfam family: Bacterial small subunit ribosomal RNA
Source: RNAcentral